RNAcentral lists this transfer RNA (43 nucleotides) under Azadinium spinosum. RNAcentral's name for it is "partial Selenocysteine transfer RNA". Lineage: Eukaryota; Dinophyceae; Gonyaulacales; Amphidomataceae. The record is from RNAcentral.
AGCGAGGGCGAUUGCUUCGUGCCUCCGGACACGACCGCCGCUU